CCCUCUGUAGCUCAAAGCAGAGCGCACCCUCCCUACGGGGAAGGUGUUGUGUCGGUUCAAACCCGACCAGAGGGA
Non-coding RNA from Borealophlyctis nickersoniae, 75 nucleotides. The record is from the annotation of a GenBank genome assembly. Lineage: Eukaryota; Fungi; Chytridiomycota; Chytridiomycetes; Rhizophlyctidales; Borealophlyctidaceae.